Molecule: ribosomal RNA, 468 nt
Filed under: uncultured bacterium
Lineage: Bacteria
Description: partial 16S ribosomal RNA
Rfam family: Bacterial small subunit ribosomal RNA
Source: RNAcentral
GACGAACGCUGGCGGCGUGCUUAACACAUGCAAGUCGAACGGAAAGGCCCUGCUUUUGUCUUGUGCCACAGAGGCGAACGGGUGAGUAACCCGUGAGUAACCUGCCCUUGAAUUUGGGAUACCUCCAGGAAACUGGGGCUAAUACCGGAUCUAAUCUCCCGCAGCAUGGUGGGGGUUGGAGAAUUUCGGCGGAUGGGGCUGGACCCGCGGCUUAUCAGGUUCUUGGUGGGGUAGUGGCAUACGAAGGCUUGGACGGGUAGCCGGCCUGGGAGGGUGACCGGGCACAUAGGGCCUGAGGAACGGGCCGGACGGCAACGGGAGGCAGCGGUGGGAGAUAUUGCACAAUGGGCGGAAGCAGGAUGCAGCAUCGCCGGGUGCGGGAUGACGGCUGUUGGGGAGUAAACAGCUUUAGACUGGGACGAAGAGUGCGUGACGGUAUUUAGUAAAGAAGCAACGGCUAACUACGUG